Molecule: long non-coding RNA, 662 nt
Filed under: Nicotiana tabacum (common tobacco)
Lineage: Eukaryota; Viridiplantae; Streptophyta; Magnoliopsida; Solanales; Solanaceae
Description: long non-coding RNA (NTAB_LNC010100)
Source: RNAcentral
CACCCUUACGUUUUUCUGUUCAUUUGUCUGCUUGUCCUUCCUGACCCUACAUGUUUUUGUGCUCUUUGUUGAUGCGCAAUAUCAAAUUCUCAAUUUGUUCUCUCCUUAAAAAACAAAAAGCUAGUUAUUAUUUUUUCCUCUUCUUUGGGUCUUUGCAGUGCAUCCUCAGCAUUAUCAAAGUUAAACAAGACAACUAGCAGUUCAAGCCUCUCUAAACAGCAGGGUGAAAAGAAGGAAACACCUCAGGAGCGACUUAAGCGGAUAAUGAGCAAACAAUUGAACAAACAAAAAGCUAGUUAUUAUUUUUUCCUCUUCUUUGGGUCUUUGCAGUGCAUCCUCAGCAUUAUCAAAGUUAAACAAGACAACUAGCAGUUCAAGCCUCUCUAAACAGCAGGGUGAAAAGAAGGAAACACCUCAGGAGCGACUUAAGCGGAUAAUGAGCAAACAAUUGAACAAACAAAGUAUACAUUACUUCAUGUGCAUCUCCGGAGUAAACCAUUUGUCUUCUAUAAUGUGCUGCAUUCUGCGAUAUAACAAGAAUGAGGAUCUCAUCUCUGUUAAUUUGUUUUUAUGGAAACUCUUCUUUUUGUAUGAUUAUGUGGGUCAUAUUGUUGCAUGCAAUGCGUUGUACAUUUUGCCUAAAUGAUGUCUUUUGCAGUCAA